This is a non-coding RNA of Acanthosepion pharaonis, 84 nucleotides long. The record is from the annotation of a GenBank genome assembly. Lineage: Eukaryota; Metazoa; Mollusca; Cephalopoda; Sepiida; Sepiidae.
UUACGGUCAAAUCACGUUGAAACACCGGUUCUCGUUCGAUCACCGAAGUUAAGCAGCGUAGAGCCAGGUCAGUACUUAGAUGGG